RNAcentral lists this ribosomal RNA (455 nucleotides) under uncultured Lentisphaeraceae bacterium. RNAcentral's name for it is "bacterial SSU rRNA". It matches the Rfam family "Bacterial small subunit ribosomal RNA", at positions 29 to 505 of the family's 1533-position model. Lineage: Bacteria; Pseudomonadati; Lentisphaerota; Lentisphaeria; Lentisphaerales; Lentisphaeraceae. The record is from RNAcentral.
AAUGAACGCUGGCGGCAUGGAUUAGGCAUGCAAGUCGAACGAUAAGCCCUUCGGGGUGGAAAGUGGCGAAAGGGUGAGUAACGCGUGAGUAACUUGCCUCCGAAUCGGGGAUAACAGUUGGAAACGACUGCUAAUACCGGAUGUGACUAUUGAAUCGCAUGUUUUAAUAGUUAAAGAUCUUUUGUUCGGAGAUAGGCUCGCGUCCCAUUAGUUAGUUGGUAAGGUAACGGCUUACCAAGACUUUGACGGGUAGGUGGUCUGAGAGGAUGGUCACCCACACUGGGACUGAGACACUGCCCAGACUCCUGCGGGAGGCUGCAGUCGAGAAUCUUCCGCAAUGCGCGAAAGCGUGACGGAGCAAUGCCGCGUGAAUGAUGAAGGCCUUCGGGUCGUAAAGUUCUGUCAGGGGUGAAGAACAUUGACAUUAACCCCAGAGGAAGCCACGGCUAACUACG